UACGGAGGAUCCGAGCGUUAUCCGGAUUUAUUGGGUUUAAAGGGAGCGUAGGCGGGUUGUUAAGUCAGUUGUGAAAGUUUGCGGCUCAACCGUAAAAUUGCAGUUGAUACUGGCAUCCUUGAGUACAGUAGAGGUAGGCGGAAUUCGUGGUGUAGCGGUGAAAUGCUUAGAUAUCACGAAGAACUCCGAUUGCGAAGGCAGCCUGCUGGACUGUAAUUGACGCUGAUGCUCGAAAGUGUGGGUAUCAAACAGG
This 253-nucleotide ribosomal RNA is filed under the name uncultured bacterium. RNAcentral's name for it is "partial 16S ribosomal RNA". It matches the Rfam family "Bacterial small subunit ribosomal RNA", at positions 524 to 776 of the family's 1533-position model. The record is from RNAcentral.